Molecule: ribosomal RNA, 126 nt
Filed under: Eucalyptus similis (inland yellowjacket)
Lineage: Eukaryota; Viridiplantae; Streptophyta; Magnoliopsida; Myrtales; Myrtaceae
Description: partial 5.8S ribosomal RNA
Rfam family: 5.8S ribosomal RNA
About the family: 5.8S ribosomal RNA (5.8S rRNA) is a component of the large subunit of the eukaryotic ribosome. It is transcribed by RNA polymerase I as part of the 45S precursor that also contains 18S and 28S rRNA.
Source: RNAcentral
CAUCGAUGAAGAACGUAGCAAACUGCGAUACUUGGUGUGAAUUGCAGAAUCCCGUGAACCAUCGAGUCUUUGAACGCAAGUUGCGCCCGAAGCCUUCGGGUCGAGGGCACGUUUGCCUGGGUGUCA